Molecule: long non-coding RNA, 318 nt
Filed under: Elaeis guineensis (African oil palm)
Lineage: Eukaryota; Viridiplantae; Streptophyta; Magnoliopsida; Arecales; Arecaceae
Description: long non-coding RNA (EGUI_LNC022482)
Source: RNAcentral
CUCUCAUCGAACUCUUCACCUGCCGUCUUCAAACAUUGCUUUUUGCUUUAUAGCAAUGUAGUUACCAAACAUAUUUUUUACUUUGUUACUUUUACUCAAUAGCAAAUAUAAAAAAAAUAAAAAAUAUUUUUUAAAAAUCAAAAAUUAAAAAUCAAAAAGUGUAACCAAUCAGCACCCUAAGCAAGUUUACAUGUUAUUCAGCUUUCUAGUCAUUUCAUGAAUUACUUCUUUCAUACUUGUGGGAAAGCCAAACUAUCCAGCCUCUACUGCCAUCUUGUACUGAAAUUCUAAUUCUAUCAUGGGGAGAACUUGCACCUC